UACGGAGAGUGCAAGCGUUGCUCGGAUUUACUGGGCGUAAAGGGCACGUAGGCGGCCCGGCAAAUCGGGUGUGGAAUCUCCCCGUUCAACGGGGGGGCGGCAUCCGAAAAUACCGGGCUUGAGCGCAGGAGGGGUGAGAGGAACUCUAGGUGGAGCGGUGAAAUGCGUAGAUAUCUAGAGGAACGACGGAGGCGAAGGCGUCUCACUGGUCUGCUGCUGACGCUGAGGUGCGAAAGCUAGGGGAGCAAACGGG
Molecule: ribosomal RNA, 253 nt
Filed under: uncultured bacterium
Lineage: Bacteria
Description: partial 16S ribosomal RNA
Rfam family: Bacterial small subunit ribosomal RNA
Source: RNAcentral